UUCAUCAUUGUACUCUUUGCACAGAAACUGCAUCAGCAGGAGAAGAAGCUCUCGACCCAGCGCCUCGUUACCAUGGAGACCAGCUGUGUACCGAAAUUCAGGUUCACCUAAUGACAGCGGAGCAAAAGGAACAACACACAGGUGACCUGAUUAUAACACCAACACAGUUUUCCUGACGAACGCGAGGAACGAGUAAAGAUGGGUUGAGAUGUUUACCUGCAUGUUGAGUCGCCCCCUCUGAGCCGUGAAGCCAUGGUGAGUCUGAGAGGAAGCCAGCAGCUGGUCGUCUUCCACCCGGUGAGACUCCAAACCCAGAGGGGGACACUCUGAGAGGGAAAGUAAACAUUAAGACAGGAUUUGUUUGACAAGUGUUCCAGAAAGACACUCAUUGGCUUCAUUUUGGGGAGCAGCACUGCAGUCAAUAACAAGCCUGUCAAGAGCAGUAUUUCUUUUGAAUGAAGACAAAGUAAAACAUUAGCUGAA
Long non-coding RNA from Micropterus dolomieu (smallmouth bass), 483 nucleotides. RefSeq lists it as uncharacterized. The record is from RefSeq and is a predicted model, not a curated record. The transcript is spliced from 2 exons. Lineage: Eukaryota; Metazoa; Chordata; Actinopteri; Centrarchiformes; Centrarchidae.